This 112-nucleotide ribosomal RNA is filed under the name Candidatus Fibrimonadaceae bacterium. Lineage: Bacteria; Pseudomonadati; Fibrobacterota; Fibrobacteria; Candidatus Fibrimonadales; Candidatus Fibrimonadaceae. The record is from RNAcentral.
GCGGCUAUAGGCGGCGGGAGACACCCGUUCCCUUCCCGAACACGGAAGUUAAGCCGCUUGCCGCCAAUGGUACCUCACCGAAAUGGUGCGGGAGAGUAGGUCGCCGCCGAGG